CAGGGUGACAGGUGGUGCAUGGUUGUCGUCAGCUCGUGCGUGAGAUGUUGGGUUAAGUCCCGCAACCGAGCCGCAACCCUCGACCUUAGUUGCCAGCAUUCAGUUGGGCACUCUAAGGUGACUGCCGGCUAAAAGUCGGAGGAAGGUGGGGAUGACGUCAAAUCAUCAUGCCCCUUAUGACCUGGGCUACACACGUGCUACAAUGGGCGGUACAAAGGGUCGCGAACCCGCGAGGGGGAGCCAAUCCCAAAAAGCCGCUCUCAGUUCGGAUUGCAGGCUGCAACUCGCCUGCAUGAAGCCGGAAUCGCUAGUAAUCGCGGAUCAGCAUGCCGCGGUGAAUACGUUCCCGGGCCUU
RNAcentral lists this ribosomal RNA (355 nucleotides) under uncultured Anoxybacillus sp. RNAcentral describes it as "bacterial SSU rRNA". It matches the Rfam family "Bacterial small subunit ribosomal RNA", at positions 1027 to 1382 of the family's 1533-position model. The record is from RNAcentral. Lineage: Bacteria; Bacillati; Bacillota; Bacilli; Caryophanales; Anoxybacillaceae.